GACGAACGCUGGCGGCGUGCUUAACACAUGCAAGUCGAACGGAAAGGCCCUGCUUUUGUGGGGUGCUCGAGUGGCGAACGGGUGAGUAACACGUGAGUAACCUGCCCUUGACUUUGGGAUAACUUCAGGAAACUGGGGCUAAUACCGGAUAGGAGCUCCUGCUGCAUGGUGGGGGUUGGAAAGUUUCGGCGGUUGGGGAUGGACUCGCGGCUUAUCAGCUUGUUGGUGGGGUAGUGGCUUACCAAGGCUUUGACGGGUAGCCGGCCUGAGAGGGUGACCGGCCACAUUGGGACUGAGGUACGGCCCAGACUCCUACGGGAGGCAGCAGGGGGGAAUAUUGCACAAUGGGCGGAAGCCUGAUGCAGCAACGCCGCGUGCGGGAUGACGGCCUUCGGGUUGGAAACCGCUUUCGCCUGUGACGAAGCGUGAGUGACGGUAAUGGGUAAAGAAGCACCGGCUAACUACGUG
This 468-nucleotide ribosomal RNA is filed under the name uncultured bacterium. RNAcentral describes it as "partial 16S ribosomal RNA". It matches the Rfam family "Bacterial small subunit ribosomal RNA", at positions 28 to 507 of the family's 1533-position model. The record is from RNAcentral.